UGCGAAGGGGGCUAGCGUUGCUCGGAAUCACUGGGCGUAAAGCGCACGUAGGCGGAUUGCUAAGUCAGGGGUGAAAUCCUGGAGCUCAACUCCAGAACUGCCUUUGAUACUGGCGAUCUCGAGUCCGGGAGAGGUGAGUGGAACUGCGAGUGUAGAGGUGAAAUUCGUAGAUAUUCGCAAGAACACCAGUGGCGAAGGCGGCUCACUGGCCCGGUACUGACGCUGAGGUGCGAAAGCGUGGGGAGCAAACAGG
RNAcentral lists this ribosomal RNA (253 nucleotides) under uncultured bacterium. RNAcentral's name for it is "partial 16S ribosomal RNA". It matches the Rfam family "Bacterial small subunit ribosomal RNA", at positions 524 to 776 of the family's 1533-position model. The record is from RNAcentral.